RNAcentral lists this ribosomal RNA (254 nucleotides) under uncultured bacterium. RNAcentral's name for it is "partial 16S ribosomal RNA". It matches the Rfam family "Bacterial small subunit ribosomal RNA", at positions 524 to 776 of the family's 1533-position model. The record is from RNAcentral.
UACGUAGGGAGCAAGCGUUGUUCGGAUUUACUGGGCGUAAAGGGCGCGUAGGCGGCAAAUUAAGUCAGCUGUGAAAUCUCUGAGCUUAACUCGGAACGGUCAGCUGAUACUGAUCUGCUAGAGUGCGGAAGGGGCAAUCGGAAUUCUUGGUGUAGCGGUGAAAUGCGUAGAUAUCAAGAGGAACACCUGAGGUGAAGACGGGUUGCUGGGCCGACACUGACGCUGAGUGCGCGAAAGCCAGGGGAGCAAACGGG